GACGAACGCUGGCGGCGUGCUUAACACAUGCAAGUCGAACGGAAAGGCCCUGCUUUUGUGGGGUGCUCGAGUGGCGAACGGGUGAGUAACACGUGAGUAACCUGCCCUUGACUUUGGGAUAACGUCAGGAAACUGGGGCUAAUACCGGAUAGGAGCUCCUGCUGCAUGGUGGGGGUUGGAAAGUUUCGGCGGGUGGGGAUGGACUCGCGGCUUAUCAGCUUGUUGGUGGGGUAGUGGCUUACCAAGGCUUUGACGGGUAGCCGGCCUGAGAGGGUGACCGGCCCCAUUGGGCCUCAGGUACCGGCCAGACUCCUUCGGGGGGCAGCGGUGGGGAAUAUUGCACACUGCGCGGAAGCCUGAUGCAGCAACGCCGCGUGCGGGAUGACGGCCUUCGGGUUGUAACCCGCUUUCGCCUGUGACGAAGCGUGAGUGACGGUAAUGGGUAAAGAAGCACCGGCUAACUACGUG
This 468-nucleotide ribosomal RNA is filed under the name uncultured bacterium. RNAcentral's name for it is "partial 16S ribosomal RNA". It matches the Rfam family "Bacterial small subunit ribosomal RNA", at positions 28 to 507 of the family's 1533-position model. The record is from RNAcentral.